This 100-nucleotide transfer RNA is filed under the name Lachnospiraceae bacterium. Its description in RNAcentral is "tRNA-OTHER". It matches the Rfam family "tRNA". Rfam says of the family: Transfer RNA (tRNA) molecules are approximately 80 nucleotides in length. The record is from RNAcentral. Lineage: Bacteria; Bacillati; Bacillota; Clostridia; Lachnospirales; Lachnospiraceae.
GCAACAGUAAACUAAAAUGGUAGAGUAGGAUAAUUGCCUUUGCGGUUCGAAUCCGCCUUGGUCUAUGGCAGACGUGCCGGUUCAAAUCCGGCCUGUUGCA